RNAcentral lists this ribosomal RNA (497 nucleotides) under uncultured bacterium. RNAcentral describes it as "partial 16S ribosomal RNA". It matches the Rfam family "Bacterial small subunit ribosomal RNA", at positions 28 to 507 of the family's 1533-position model. The record is from RNAcentral.
GAUGAACGCUGGCGGCGUGCCUAAUACAUGCAAGUCGAGCGAACGGACGAGGAGCUUGCUCCUCUGAUGUUAGCGGCGGACGGGUGAGUAACACGUGGAUAACCUACCUAUAAGACUGGGAUAACUUCGGGAAACCGGAGCUAAUACCGGAUGAUAUAUUGAACCGCAUGGUUCAAAAGUGAAAGACGGUCUUGCUGUCACUUAUAGAUGGAUCCGCGCUGCAUUAGCUAGUUGGUAAGGUAACGGCUUACCAAGGCUACGAUGCAUAGCCGACCUGAGAGGGUGAUUGGACACAUUGGAAGUGAGACAGGGCCCAGACUCCUACGGGAGGCAGCAGUAGGGAAUCUUCCGCAAGGGGGGAAAGCCUGACGGAGCAACGCCGCGGGAGUGAUGAAGGUCUUCGGAUCGUAAAACUCUGUUAUUAGGGAAGAAGAAAUGUGUAAGUAACUGUGAACAUAUUGACGGUACCGAAUCAGAAAGCCACGGCUAACUACGUG